RNAcentral lists this ribosomal RNA (469 nucleotides) under uncultured Latescibacterota bacterium. RNAcentral's name for it is "bacterial SSU rRNA". It matches the Rfam family "Bacterial small subunit ribosomal RNA", at positions 917 to 1381 of the family's 1533-position model. Lineage: Bacteria; Pseudomonadati; Candidatus Latescibacterota. The record is from RNAcentral.
GACGGACCCGCACAAGCAGCGGAGCGUGUGGUUUAAUUCGAUGACUACACGAAGAACCUUACCAGGUUUGACAUGCAAGUGGUAGGAAUCCGAAAGGUGACCGACCUUCGGGGAGCUUGCACAGGUGCUGCAUGGCUGUCGUCAGCUCGUGUCGUGAGAUGUUGGGUUAAGUCCCGCAACGAGCGCAACCCUUAUCCCUAGUUGCCAUCAGGUAAAGCUGGGAACUCUGGGGAGACUGCCGGUGAUAAACCGGAGGAAGGCGGGGAUGACGUCAAGUCCUCAUGGCCCUUACAUCCCGGGCUACACACGUGCUACAAUGGCAGGUACAGAGGGCUGCGAAGCCGCGAGGUGGAGCGAAUCCCAGAAAACCUGUCUCAGUCCGGAUUGAAGUCUGCAACUCGACUUCAUGAAGGCGGAAUCGCUAGUAACCGCGAAUCAGCAGGUCGCGGUGAAUACGUUCCCGGGCCUU